This 81-nucleotide transfer RNA is filed under the name archaeon. RNAcentral describes it as "tRNA-Ser". It matches the Rfam family "tRNA". Rfam says of the family: Transfer RNA (tRNA) molecules are approximately 80 nucleotides in length. Their secondary structure includes four short double-helical elements and three loops (D, anti-codon, and T loops). Further hydrogen bonds mediate the characteristic L-shaped molecular structure. tRNAs have two regions of fundamental functional importance: the anti-codon, which is responsible for specific mRNA codon recognition, and the 3' end, to which the tRNAs corresponding amino acid is attached (by aminoacyl-tRNA synthetases). tRNAs cope with the degeneracy of the genetic code in two manners: having more than one tRNA (with a specific anti-codon) for a particular amino acid; and 'wobble' base-pairing, i.e. permitting non-standard base-pairing at the 3rd anti-codon position. The record is from RNAcentral.
GCCCACGUCGCAUAACGGUAUUGCACAAGACUGGAACUCUUGGCCCCUCGGGGCGCCCAGGUUCGACUCCUGGCGUGGGCG